GAUCAUGGCUCAGGACGAACGCUGGCGGCGUGCUUAACACAUGCAAGUCGAACGAAGCACUUUAUUUGAUUUCCUUCGGGACUGAUUAUUUUGUGACUGAGUGGCGGACGGGUGAGUAACGCGUGGGUAACCUGCCUUGUACAGGGGGAUAACAGUUGGAAACGGCUGCUAAUACCGCAUAAGCGCACGGCAUCGCAUGAUGCAGUGUGAAAAACUCCGGUGGUAUAAGAUGGACCCGCG
RNAcentral lists this ribosomal RNA (240 nucleotides) under uncultured bacterium. RNAcentral's name for it is "partial 16S ribosomal RNA". It matches the Rfam family "Bacterial small subunit ribosomal RNA", at positions 15 to 235 of the family's 1533-position model. The record is from RNAcentral.